Molecule: ribosomal RNA, 894 nt
Filed under: uncultured bacterium
Lineage: Bacteria
Description: bacterial SSU rRNA
Rfam family: Bacterial small subunit ribosomal RNA
Source: RNAcentral
CUGGGCGUAAGGAUGCGUAGGCGGAUGUUUAAGUGAGAUGUGAAAUACCCGGGCUUAACUUGGGUGCUGCAUUUCAAACUGGAUAUCUAGAGUGUGGGAGAGGAGAAUGGAAUUCCUAGUGUAGCGGUGAAAUGCGUAGAGAUUAGGAAGAACACCAGUGGCGAAGGCGAUUCUCUGGACCAUAACUGACGCUGAGGCAUGAAAGCGUGGGUAGCAAACAGGAUUAGAUACCCUGGUAGUCCACGCCGUAAACGAUGAGUACUAGGUGUAGGAGGGUCCAACCUUCUGUGCCGCAGUUAACACAAUAAGUACUCCGCCUGGGAAGUACGAUCGCAAGAUUAAAACUCAAAGGAAUUGACGGGGGCCCGCACAAGCAGCGGAGCAUGUGGUUUAAUUCGAAGCAACGCGAAGAACCUUACCUGGACUUGACAUCCCCUGAAUUACUCGUAAUGGAGGAAGCCCUUCGGGGCAGGGAGACAGGUGGUGCAUGGUUGUCGUCAGCUCGUGUCGUGAGAUGUUAGGUUAGGUCCUGCAACGAGCGCAACCCUUAUCAUUAGUUGCUACCAUUAAGUUGAGCACUCUAGUGAGACUGCCCGGGUUAACCGGGAGGAAGGUGGGGAUGACGUCAAAUCAUCAUGCCCCUUAUGUCCAGGGCUACACACGUGCUACAAUGGUGAGUACAAUUAGAUGCAAACCCGCGAGGGUGAGCCAAACUAAAAAACUCAUCCCAGUUCGGAUUGUAGGCUGAAACUCGCCUACAUGAAGCUGGAGUUGCUAGUAAUCGCGAAUCAGCAUGUCGCGGUGAAUACGUUCCCGGGCCUUGUACACACCGCCCGUCACACCAUGAGAGCUGGCAACACCCGAAGUCCGUGAGGUAACCGUAAGGAGCCAGCG